AUUAAGUUACAGACAGCUCAUUUAAUAAACGACUGCAGCUUUCCGCACGGUCAGCUUUUAUUGUUGCACACCGGCAUCCACAUGACAGCAGGCAGCGCGUGUCCUUUUGAGGGUGCAGUGACUUCCGAGUGAAGAUACAGAAUUACAUCUGACAUGGAUUUUAACCAGCAGCCAUAUCACCCUGUAGCCCAAGACUGGUUGCCCACUGAAGCUAAGCAGGGCUGAGCCUGCUCAGUACCUGGAUAGGAGACUUCCUGGGAAAACUAGGUUGCUGCUGGAAGAGGAGUUAUUGAGGCCAGCAGGGGGUGCUCUCCCUGUGGUCUGUGUGGGUCCUAACGCCCCAGUGUAGUGACGAGGACACUACUGUCCUUCGGAUGAGACAUUAAAUCGAGGGCCUGACUCUCUGUGGUCAUUAAAAAUCCCAGGAUGUCUGUCGAAAAGAGUAGAGGUGUGACCUCGGCAUCCUUGCCAAAUUCGUCCAUUGGCCUCUGACCAUCAUGGCCUCCUAACAAUCCCCAUAUCUGCUGAUUGGCUUCAUCACUGUCUCCACUCCACCAAUAAGCUGGUGUGUGAUGGGUGUUCUGGUGCACUAUGGCUGCCGUUGCAUCAUCCAGGUGGAUGCUGCACACUGGUGGUGGACGAGGAGAUACCCGCUCAUAAUGCAACGCGCUUUGAGUGCUUAGAAAAGCACUAUAUAAAUGUAAUGAAUUAUUAUUAUUAUUAUUAUUUAUACUUGCAUAAUUACACUCAAUGAAUGCAAGCAAAUACUAAAUUUAAACCAAGUUUAAAAUGGUGCUAAAAAAGGCAUUCAUUGUCGGAAAUUCCCAUUGAAACUUUUAUAUAUAUAUAUAUAUACACACACACACCGAUGAGACAGUAUAUUAUCACCACCCUCAUUAUAUGAUGAUCAAUGAGUAUGUCUGGCAAUCGAAUGGUGCCGAUGGUGCAGUUCACAGAGCAGUAUAUAUAUCGCCCAGGGACUGGCUUUCGGUCAGUAGUGUCUCAGAAACAGAGAGAGAUCUCAGUGCGUCUUGUGGGUUGUUCACGUGCCUCUGUAGUGAGUAUGUAUCAGAAGUGGUGCGUGGAUGGCCAAGCGACGAACUGCCGUCCAACCGUGCAGGGGCAUAGAUCACCACUUUUAAUACCACGUAAAUUCGUCCCCCACACUUUUUUCGCCGGUUUUCAAGAUCCGGUGUGAAUAAAUAUACAUUUAAAUUCAAAGAACGAUUCAUCAGAGAUCCGCGUCCCCAAUCUAGUUCAGAGCCACUGGAAGAACAAAACAGACGUCACAAAAAACAAGAAGAAACAACAACAACAAAAAAAAAUGGUGGAAGGAUCGUGAUUAAUAUUGUAUCGUUUUUUUUUUUAUACUUACUGUAACUCAUACUCUUCAAUAAAAAUGAUUUCAGAUGACUGUU
Long non-coding RNA from Cyprinus carpio (common carp), 1418 nucleotides. RefSeq lists it as uncharacterized. The record is from RefSeq and is a predicted model, not a curated record. NCBI's taxonomy places the organism in Eukaryota, Metazoa, Chordata, Actinopteri, Cypriniformes, Cyprinidae.